RNAcentral lists this ribosomal RNA (258 nucleotides) under uncultured bacterium. Its description in RNAcentral is "partial 16S ribosomal RNA". It matches the Rfam family "Bacterial small subunit ribosomal RNA", at positions 96 to 354 of the family's 1533-position model. The record is from RNAcentral.
CGGCGGACGGGUGAGUAACGCGUGGGUAACCUGCCUUAUACAGGGGGAUAACAGUUAGAAAUGACUGCUAAUACCGCAUAAGCGCACAGUACCGCAUGGUAGUGUGUGAAAAACUCCGGUGGUAUAAGAUGGACCCGCGUCUGAUUAGCCAGUUGGCGGGGUAACGGCCUACCAAAGCGACGAUCAGUAGCCGACCUGAGAGGGUGACCGGCCACAUUGGGACUGAGACACGGCCCAAACUCCUACGGAAGGCAGCAG